CAGCAGCCGCGGUAAUACGUAGGUCCCGAGCGUUGUCCGGAUUUAUUGGGCGUAAAGCGAGCGCAGGCGGUUUGAUAAGUCUGAAGUUAAAGGCUGUGGCUCAACCAUAGUUCGCUUUGGAAACUGUCAAACUUGAGUGCAGAAGGGGAGAGUGGAAUUCCAUGUGUAGCGGUGAAAUGCGUAGAUAUAUGGAGGAACACCGGUGGCGAAAGCGGCUCUCUGGUCUGUAACUGACGCUGAGGCUCGAAAGCGUGGGGAGCGAACAGGAUUAGAUACCCGCGUAGUCCCUGUCUCUUAUACA
RNAcentral lists this ribosomal RNA (301 nucleotides) under uncultured bacterium. RNAcentral describes it as "partial 16S ribosomal RNA". It matches the Rfam family "Bacterial small subunit ribosomal RNA", at positions 509 to 808 of the family's 1533-position model. The record is from RNAcentral.